This 148-nucleotide small RNA is filed under the name Pongo abelii (Sumatran orangutan). RNAcentral describes it as "Metazoan signal recognition particle RNA (ENSPPYG00000039989.1)". The record is from Rfam by way of RNAcentral. Lineage: Eukaryota; Metazoa; Chordata; Mammalia; Primates; Hominidae.
GCCAGGCGUGGUGGGGCAUGCCUGUAGUCCCAGCUACUCAGGAGGCUGAGGUUGGAGGAUCACUUGAGCCCAGGAGAUCAAGGCUGCAGUGAGCUAUGAUCACACCACUGCACUCCAGCCUGGGCGACACAGUGAGACAUUAUCUCAU